UCUUCACAUAUGGAAAGGUUAAGAAGAGCAGUAACAGCAUGCUCUUGGAUGCGAGAGUCAGGUGUUGACAGGAGGCCCACAAGGAGAGGGAUUGCACCAGCUUCAGCAAUAGCCACACGAUUAUCUGCAUUCCGCUUAGCAAGAAGGCGGAUCUCACCUGCAGCAGAUCGCUGGUCUUCAGGGCUACCCGAUGUGAGUUUGUGAAGGAGAAUUUCAAUCUUUGUAAGCUCAGCAGGUGAGUAGGCAGAUGUGGUUUUGUUGCAUCGUGAACUGCUGGGUCGUUUUGGUGGUUCAAUCCCAUUUGCUUCACACCACUGGGCUAUGAG
This 326-nucleotide unclassified non-coding RNA is filed under the name Hevea brasiliensis (rubber tree). Lineage: Eukaryota; Viridiplantae; Streptophyta; Magnoliopsida; Malpighiales; Euphorbiaceae. The record is from RNAcentral.